UACAGAGGGUGCGAGCGUUAAUCGGAAUUACUGGGCGUAAAGCGCGCGUAGGCGGCUUUGCAAGUCGGGUGUGAAAUCCCCCAGGCUUAACCUGGGAACUGCAUUCGAGACUGCAUUGCUAGAGUAUGGGGAGAGGGAAGUGGAAUUUCAGGUGUAGCGGUGAAAUGCGUAGAUAUCUGAAGGAACAUCAGUGGCGAAAAGCGACUUCCUGGACCAAUACUGACGCUCAUGUGCGAAAGCGUGGGGGAGCAAACAGG
This 257-nucleotide ribosomal RNA is filed under the name uncultured bacterium. RNAcentral's name for it is "partial 16S ribosomal RNA". It matches the Rfam family "Bacterial small subunit ribosomal RNA", at positions 524 to 776 of the family's 1533-position model. The record is from RNAcentral.